Non-coding RNA from Potamilus streckersoni, 79 nucleotides. The record is from the annotation of a GenBank genome assembly. NCBI's taxonomy places the organism in Eukaryota, Metazoa, Mollusca, Bivalvia, Unionida, Unionidae.
GGUGGUCUAAUGGUUAGAGCGUCCGCCUUAGAUGCGGGAUGUCGCAGGUUCCAACCCAAGCCGAGUCAUGCCAAAGACA